GGAAUAUUGGACAAUGGGCGCAAGCCUGAUCCAGCAAUGCCGCGUGAGUGAGGAAGGCCUUAGGGUUGUAAAGCUCUUUCGCGCGCGACGAUGAUGCCGGUAGCGCGAGAAGAAGCCCCGGCUACCGUCGUGCAAGCAGCCGCGGUAAUACGAAGGGGGCGAGCGUUGUUCGGAUUUACUGGGCGUAAAGGGCGCGCAGGCGGCCAGAUUUGUCAGGCGUGAAAGCCCCGGGCUUAACCUGGGAAUGGCGCCUGGGACGGUUUGGCUUGAGAUCGGGAGAGGAGCGUGGAAUUCCUAGUGUAGAGGUGAAAUUCGUAGAUAUUGGGAAGAACACCGGUGGCGAAGGCGGCGCUCUGGACCGAGACUGACGCUGAGGCGCGAAAGCGUGGGGAGCAAA
RNAcentral lists this ribosomal RNA (397 nucleotides) under uncultured bacterium. RNAcentral describes it as "bacterial SSU rRNA". It matches the Rfam family "Bacterial small subunit ribosomal RNA", at positions 358 to 772 of the family's 1533-position model. The record is from RNAcentral.